Molecule: transfer RNA, 72 nt
Filed under: Bos taurus (domestic cattle)
Lineage: Eukaryota; Metazoa; Chordata; Mammalia; Artiodactyla; Bovidae
Also listed under: 1 other name
Rfam family: tRNA
About the family: Transfer RNA (tRNA) molecules are approximately 80 nucleotides in length. Their secondary structure includes four short double-helical elements and three loops (D, anti-codon, and T loops). Further hydrogen bonds mediate the characteristic L-shaped molecular structure. tRNAs have two regions of fundamental functional importance: the anti-codon, which is responsible for specific mRNA codon recognition, and the 3' end, to which the tRNAs corresponding amino acid is attached (by aminoacyl-tRNA synthetases). tRNAs cope with the degeneracy of the genetic code in two manners: having more than one tRNA (with a specific anti-codon) for a particular amino acid; and 'wobble' base-pairing, i.e. permitting non-standard base-pairing at the 3rd anti-codon position.
Source: Rfam by way of RNAcentral
UCCCUGGUGGCUCAGAGGGUAAAGAAUCUGCCUGCGAUGCAGGAGACCCAGGUUUGAUCCCUGGGUUGGGAA